AGAGUUUGUAGUCCUCGGCUCAGGAUGAAACGCUGGCGGCGUGCUUAACACAUGCAAAGUCGAACGAAGCACUUAAGAACGAUUCUUCGGAUGAAGUCUUUUGUGACUGAGUGGCGGACGGGUGAGUAACGCGUGGGUAACCUGCCUCACGACAGGGGGAUAACAGUUGGAACGACCGCUAUACCGCAUAAGCCAACAGGGGCGCAUGCUCUGGUUGGAAAAGAUUUAUCGGUGUGAGAUGGACCCGCGUCUGAUUAGCCAGUUGGCAGGGUAACGGCCUACCCAAAGCGACGAUCAGUAGCCGGCCUGAGAGGGUGAACGGCCACAUUGGGACUGAGACACGGCCCAAACUCCUACGGGAGGCAGCAGUGGGGAAUAUUGCACAAUGGGGGAAACCCUGAUGCGGCGACGCCGCGUGAGUGAAGAAGUAUUUCGGUAUGUAAAGCUCUAUCAGCAGGGAAGAAAAUGACGGUACCUGACUAAGAAGCCCCGGCUAACUACGUG
This 504-nucleotide ribosomal RNA is filed under the name uncultured Lachnospiraceae bacterium. RNAcentral describes it as "bacterial SSU rRNA". It matches the Rfam family "Bacterial small subunit ribosomal RNA", at positions 8 to 507 of the family's 1533-position model. Lineage: Bacteria; Bacillati; Bacillota; Clostridia; Lachnospirales; Lachnospiraceae. The record is from RNAcentral.